Molecule: microRNA, 18 nt
Filed under: Homo sapiens (human)
Lineage: Eukaryota; Metazoa; Chordata; Mammalia; Primates; Hominidae
Description: hsa-miR-4505
Source: miRBase by way of RNAcentral
AGGCUGGGCUGGGACGGA